GACGAACCGUGCGAACGUUGUUCGGAAUCACUGGGCUUAAAGGGUGCGUAGGCGGCCCGUUAAGUCAGUGGUGAAAGCCUCCAGCUCAACUGGAGAACUGCCAUUGAUACUGGCGGGCUUGAGUACAGACGAGGUUGGCGGAAUUGAUUGUGUAGCGGUGAAAUGCAUAGAUACAAUCAAGAACACCGAUUGCGUAGGCAGCUAACUAGGCUGUAACUGACGCUGAGGCACGAAAGCGUGGGGAGCGAACAGG
RNAcentral lists this ribosomal RNA (253 nucleotides) under uncultured bacterium. Its description in RNAcentral is "partial 16S ribosomal RNA". It matches the Rfam family "Bacterial small subunit ribosomal RNA", at positions 524 to 776 of the family's 1533-position model. The record is from RNAcentral.